Molecule: long non-coding RNA, 614 nt
Organism: Adelges cooleyi (spruce gall adelgid)
Lineage: Eukaryota; Metazoa; Arthropoda; Insecta; Hemiptera; Adelgidae
Exons: 3
Source: RefSeq, a predicted model, not a curated record
UUUAAAACCGACUAAUGCCGAGACGGAGUAUCAUUUAGUAUCUCUUACGGUUAAAUUCACAUUUUGAAUUCUUGUACAGCUUCGGCGUUUUCAGCAUGUAUUGCAAGUGUAUUUUAUUGGUUGUCUUUUUUUUCUGUAUUCAAUACGGUGAUUCCGUAGGCCCAUUACAGACGUUGGAAGGAUAUUUUAAUAGAGAAAAUAAAAAAAAUGUACUGCCCUAUGAUGCGUACGUAUCGUAUGUACGACAAAACUAUAAUUUACCAGAACAUUACAAUAAAUUGGUCAAUGAAAUUGGUGAACGCUACAAGCAUGGUAUCAGUAAGGAAGAAUUUAUUUGGGCAAUUAGUACAGUAGACAGUGAAGUUAAAUAUCCACAAGGUUACACUCCUAAUAUCACUUCUGGUUCAAGACAUCUUGCAGAACUUAUCGAGAAGUCCAAAGCGAUGGAUAAAAAUUUUGAUGGGCAUUAUUUUGAUAAAAAUCAAAAAUAAUAGAUUAUUAAAUAUUGUUUAAAUGAUUUUGUUGAAUUAUUUAAUCUUGCAGAUUUAUGUUGUACCGUACCGUGUGUUUUAACAUUAAAAUUCUAGUUCUCUAUUAGUUUGUAACAGAAACAU